RNAcentral lists this ribosomal RNA (253 nucleotides) under uncultured bacterium. Its description in RNAcentral is "partial 16S ribosomal RNA". It matches the Rfam family "Bacterial small subunit ribosomal RNA", at positions 524 to 776 of the family's 1533-position model. The record is from RNAcentral.
UACGAAGGGUGCAAACGUUGCUCGGAAUCAUUGGGCGUAAAGCGCACGUAGGCGGCCUGGUAAGUCGGAUGUGAAAUCCCACGGCUCAACCGUGGAAGUGCAUCCGAAACUGCUUGGCUCGAGUAUGGAAGAGGGUCGCAGAAUUCCCGGUGUAGAGGUGAAAUUCGUAGAUAUCGGGAGGAACACCAGUGGCGAAGGCGGCGACCUGGGCCAAUAUUGACGCUGAGGUGCGAAAGCGUGGGGAGCAAACAGG